CCCUCCCCUGUCCCACCCUCUCCCUUCCCACACCUGGAGACUCAGACCCCCCCCCAGGGCUGUGGACGACUGGCACAGUGGGACACAAGCAUCACUUACAAUCAGAAAAGAUCCCUGAUGAAAGCGCAUGAAGGAACACAAAGCAGGCGACCGCACGUCUAUGAACACGCUCACGGGACGGUGCACAGAGCAGGCGACCACACGUCUAUAAACACACAGCACGGUGGCCCCGGUGGCUCACGCCUGUCAUCCCAGCACUUUGGGAGGCCGAGGAGGGCGGAUCACCUGAGGUCAGGAGUUUGAGACCAGCCUGGCCAAUAUGGUGAAACCCUGCCUCUACUAAAAAUACAAAAAAUUAGCUGGGCGUGGUGGCGUGUGCCUGUAGUUCCAGCUACUUGGGAGGCUGAGGCAGGAGAAUCACUUGAACCCGGGAGGCGGAGGUUGCAGUGAGCCAAGAUUGUGCCACUGCACUCCAGCCUGGGCGACAGAGCAAGACUCCAUCUAAAAAAAAGAAAAAUGAUUACAGCAGAAACACACCGAAGUAUUAGCUCUGAAUCCCGCUCGGCAGUGAAACUAGAUGUUGCUUUAUGAUUUUAAAAAACUCGCUAUGAUGAACAUGUAUCUUCUUCAUAAGAGAAAGAGUCAAGUUUACUCUGAGUCAUCAUUGCAGAUUUCCUGUGAAGCAGAGGCACCUCUGGGCCGCACCCAGGCCUGGGACCGCCCUGAGCCUGAGCCCCUCACACAGUGCAGCCCCAGCCCUGCCUCGGAGAAGCCCAGGCCAGGGUGAAGCAUGGGACCGGGGGAGUCGGACCGUGGCCCUGGAGCUCAGGGUGCUGCAGCCUGGGGUGUCGGCGUUAUUCCCACGCAUCUCCACAGCUCCCACGGCGCCCGCCUCGUGAAGUGGGCACCCACCCCGCGGACCUGCUGGCGGAGCCGGUGGUGUACUGUGAACUGACUUAUGAAACCACCUCUGCAAGGCAAAACAGGCCAUUGGCCACUGGGCCCCGUGAACCUGUCCCUGUGUGUCAGUGCGUCUGCAUCUCUUCCAUCUUACAAACCGUGUGUCAGCCACCUGCUGCUGUGUGCCUGUGGCGGGACCCUCGCUGCAGGGAAUGCUGCGUUCUUGGUGUUUGCUUACACAACGUGUUCCUAUUUCCUUUCCCAAAUCUGCAAGCACUCCUUGCAGAUAAAACAGCUCAGACCGGGAGAGGCCAAGAGAACACGGAGGUCCUGAAGCCCCCUGUGCUUGAGUCAGGAGCCCAGAGGCUGGUGCCACAGCUCCAAGCAGGCAGCUCCAAACCUCAGCACCCACAGCCACAGUGUGGAUGACAUCAGUGGCAGGUAAAUUGACUGUACAGUAAGUGUACAAGGCCAGGCACGGUGGCUCAUGCCUGUAAUCCCAACACUUUCGGAGGCCGAGGCAGGAGGACCACUUGAGUCCAGGAGUUCGAGAUCAGCCUGGGCAACAUCGUGAGACCCCCCAUCUCUACAAAACAUAAAAAAUUAGCUGGGUAUGGUGGCACAUGCCUGUGAUCCCAGCUACUUGGGAGGCUGAGGUGGAAGGAUCACCUGAAACCAGGAGACUGAGGCUGCAGUGAGCUGUGAUGAGGCCACUACGUUCCAGCCUGGAUGACAGAAUACGUAUCCGACUAUACUGUGAAGAAAUAUUGACGUGAAAAAAGAACGCGGAGAUCUGAUAAAGCAACAGUUCAGCUCACGGCGAGGUCCUCCGCAGGAGGCGGUUGGUGGGAAGAGGCGAGAGAUCCUGCCCGUGCGUCCCACAUGGAGACGCCUGGAUUGGAAACUACCGAAAAAUGUUUCAAGGAACUCUCCCUGGGUGACACGCUGGUUUUCAGACAUUUGAUUCAGCUGCUGCAGUUUCCUCCUCCCUGACACGGGGACUGAACUGCAGGCCACGGCGAGCCAGCCAGGGAAACCACCUUCUCCAGCCACAGCCGGCGGGGCCCUGGGCUCGGAGCUGCUGCCGGUUCUGGAGGGAGAGACCCCAGCAAGGAGGUGGUGACUCACUGGGCCGCUCCUCCCCUCCCGCCCCGGCCCUCCCC
This is a long non-coding RNA of Pan troglodytes (chimpanzee), 2063 nucleotides long. RefSeq lists it as uncharacterized. The transcript has 3 exons. NCBI's taxonomy places the organism in Eukaryota, Metazoa, Chordata, Mammalia, Primates, Hominidae. The record is from RefSeq and is a predicted model, not a curated record.